Molecule: ribosomal RNA, 407 nt
Filed under: Verrucomicrobiota bacterium
Lineage: Bacteria; Pseudomonadati; Verrucomicrobiota
Description: Verrucomicrobia bacterium partial 16S ribosomal RNA
Rfam family: Bacterial small subunit ribosomal RNA
Source: RNAcentral
UGGGGAAUAUUGGACAAUGGAGGAAACUCUGAUCCAGCAAUUCUGUGUGUGUGAAGAAGGUUUUAGGACUGUAAAACACUUUUAGUAGGGAAGAAAAAAAUGACGGUACCUACAGAAGAAGCAACGGCUAAAUACGUGCCAGCAGCCGCGGUAAUACGUAUGUUGCGAGCGUUAUCCGGAAUUAUUGGGCUUAAAGGGCAUCUAGGCGGUAAGACAAGUUGAAGGUGAAAACCUGUGGCUCAACCAUAGGCUUGCCUACAAAACUGUUGAACUAGAGUACUGGAAAGGUGGGUGGAACUACACGAGUAGAGGUGAAAUUCGUAGAGAUGUGUAGGAAUGCCGAUGAUGAAGAUAACUCACUGGACAGAAACUGACGCUGAAGUGCGAAAGCUAGGGGAGCAAACAGG